RNAcentral lists this ribosomal RNA (790 nucleotides) under Clostridioides difficile. Its description in RNAcentral is "bacterial LSU rRNA". It matches the Rfam family "Bacterial large subunit ribosomal RNA", at positions 1112 to 1919 of the family's 2925-position model. Lineage: Bacteria; Bacillati; Bacillota; Clostridia; Peptostreptococcales; Peptostreptococcaceae. The record is from RNAcentral.
GCAGCCACUCAUUCAAAGAGUGCGUAAUAGCUCACUGGUCGAGUGAUCCUGCGCCGAAGAUUUCCGGGGCUAAAACUUACUACCGAAGCUACGGCAUCAGUAAUGAUGGGUAGGGGAGCUUCCCAUAUGGGUUGAAGCAUGACCGUAAGGACAUGUGGACAGUAUGGGAGUGAGAAUGUUGGCAUGAGUAGCGAGAUGUGGGUGAGAAUCCCACAGGCCGUAAACCCAAGGUUUCCAGGGGAAGGUUCGUCCGCCCUGGGUUAGUCGGGACCUAAGCUGAGGCCGAAAGGCGUAGGUGAUGGACAACAGGUUGAUAUUCCUGUACUACCGAUAACCGUUUGAGAGAAGGGAUGACACAGUAGGAUAAGCUAAGCACACUGUUGGUUAUGUGUGCCCAAGCAUUGAGGCAGUCAAAGCAGGCAAAUCCGCUUUGAUAAUGCUGGGAUGUGAUGGGGAGCGAAAUUUAGUAGCGAAGUAGCUGAUUUCACACUGUCAAGAAAAGUCUCUAUCGAGGUUAAAGGUACCCGUACCGCAAACCGACACAGGUGGGUGAGGAGAGUAUCCUAAGGCCAGCGAGAGAACUGUUGUUAAGGAACUCGGCAAAAUGACCCCGUAACUUAGGGAUAAGGGGUGCCACCAUCCGGUGGCCGCAGAGAAUAGGCUCAAGCGACUGUUUACCAAAAACAUAGGUUUCUGCUAAGUCGCAAGACGAUGUAUAGGAGCUGACGCCUGCCCGGUGCUGGAAGGUUAAGGGGAUCUGUUAGAGCAAUCGAAGCAGUGAACUUAAGCC